UGAAAUGAUCAAUAAAACAGUGUUCUGCAGCCAAACAAAGUGGUCGGAUGAAAUGAGAACAAAUGGCGCAGUUGGAGAAAAAGGCUAUCAAAACUAAUAUAUGAUGUUAGAAACAAAGGCCGUUGUUCCCUUUACCUUGGGAAUAUGUAGUGACUGGAACGGAAUAUACAGGUGCUUUCGAGUGCAGGUAUUUAUUGAAUCCCUACUGGUGGUCAGACCCUGUUCUGGGAACCAGGGUUGCAAUAGUGAACACAACAUACUAAAUGCCCUGUCCUUAUAAAGCCUGUAUGGAAACAAGAAAGAACAACAAUGAACAAGAUACACAGGGACAGAGUUUCACCGUGUU
RNAcentral lists this long non-coding RNA (346 nucleotides) under Homo sapiens (human). RNAcentral describes it as "HSALNT0214284". Lineage: Eukaryota; Metazoa; Chordata; Mammalia; Primates; Hominidae. The record is from RNAcentral.